CUGGUUUGAUCCUUGCAGCUAAUCAUCUUGCUUGUCUCAGAUGGAUUAAGCCAUGCAUGUCUAAGUACAUGCCGAAAUAAGGCGAAACCGCGAAUGGCUAAUUAAAUCAGUUAUGGUUCCUCUGUAAAACACAUUUUUCCCACCCCCCGUUAUUCUUCCUACUUGGAUAACUGUGCCACAUUCUAGAAGCCCUAACCUAUCUAUGCAGUGAGCCUGGAGCCCUUUGGGUAACGGGUGCUUUUAUUAGACCAAGAUCGAUCGGGUUUCGGCCCGUAUUGUGUGGUGACUCUGGAUAACUUUGUGCUGAUCGCAUGGCCACGAGCCGGCGACGUUUCUUUCAAGUGUCUGCCUUAUCAACUUUCGAUGGUAGGUUACUUGCUUACCAUGGUUGUUACGGGUAACGGAGAAUCAGGGUUCGAUUCCGGAGAGGGAGCCUGAGAAACGGCUACCACAUCCAAGGAAGGCAGCAGGCGCGCAAAUUACCCACUCCCGGCACGGGGAGGUAGUGACGAAAAAUAACAAUACGGGCGACUCUUUUGAGGCCCGUAAUUGAAAUGCGUUACCCUGUACAAAAUCCUUUAAACGAGGGCAUCACAUUUGGAGGCACGUCUGGUGCCAGCGCGCGGUAAUUCCAGCUCCAUGCGUUACUAAAGCUGCCUGCGGUUAAAAAGUCGUGUUGGAUCUCAGUUCCAGACGGAGUGCAUACCGAUGCACGGCUUCGGACUGACCAAUCCAAUGCCGGUUUUUCUUGUGCACGUUCAUUGUGUGCCUCGAGUGCGGCUGCUUUUACUUUGAAAAAAUUUUAGAGUGCUCAACGCAGGCGAGUCGCCUGAAUAAACUUGCAUGGAAUAAUAGAACAAGACCGCGUUUCUGUUCUGUUGGUUUUUGGAAUACGAGGUAAUGAUUAAGAGGGACGGACGGGGGCAUUCGUAUUGCGGCGCUAGAGGUGAAAUUCUUGGACCGUCGCAAGACGAACUACUGCGAAAGCAUUUGCCAAGAAUGUUUUCAUUGAUCAAGAACGAAAGUCAGAGGUUCGAAGGCGAUCAGAUACCGCCCUAGUUCUGACCAUAAACGAUGCCAACCAGCGAUCCGCCUGAGUUACUCAAAUGACUCGGCGGGCAGCUUCCGGGAAACCAAAGUUUUGGGUUCCGGGGGGCAGUAUGGUUGCCAAGCUGAAAUUAUAAGGAAUGAAGGCAAGGGCACACAGGGAGUGGGCUGCGGCUUAAUUUGACUCAACACGGGAAAACUUACCCGGCCCGGACACUGGGAGGAUUGACAGAUUGAGAGCUCUUUCUUGAUUCGGUGGAUGGUGGUGCAUGGCCGUUCUUAGUUGGUGGAGCGAUUUGUCUGGUUAAUUCCGAUAACGAACGAGACUCUAGCCUAUUAAAUAGGUGCGGGGUUCCCAGCACCUUACAACCUUCUUAGAGGGACAAGCGGCUCCUAGCCGCACGAAACAGAGCAAUAACAGGUCUGUGAUGCCCUUAGAUGUCCGGGGCCGCGCGCGCGCUACACUGAAGGAAGCAGCGUGUCUUUAUCCCUGUCUGAAAAGACUGGGUAACCCGUGGAACUUCUUUGUGAUGUUGGGAUAGGGGCUUGCAAUUGUUCCCCUUGAACGAGGAAUUCCCAGUAAGCGCGAGUCAUAAGCUCGCGUUGAUUACGUCCCUGCCCUUUGUACACACCGCCCGUCGCUACUACCGAUUGAAUGAUUUAGUGAGGUCUUCGGACCGAUGUCCGGCGCGGCCUUUCGGUUGCGCCGGUCUGUUGGAAAGAUGACCAAACUUGAUCAUUUAGAGGAAGUAAAAGUCGUAACAAGGUUUCCGUAGGUGAACCUGCGGAAG
RNAcentral lists this ribosomal RNA (1838 nucleotides) under Rhipicephalus microplus (southern cattle tick). RNAcentral's name for it is "SSU rRNA". It matches the Rfam family "Eukaryotic small subunit ribosomal RNA". The record is from RNAcentral. Lineage: Eukaryota; Metazoa; Arthropoda; Arachnida; Ixodida; Ixodidae.